Pelobates cultripes (western spadefoot toad) is the source of this 364-nucleotide non-coding RNA. The record is from the annotation of a GenBank genome assembly. Lineage: Eukaryota; Metazoa; Chordata; Amphibia; Anura; Pelobatidae.
ACUGGAGCCAGACAGGCACGUGUGCAGUGUGUGUAUUAUGUCAGCUAUGUGUUUUUUACUAUGUCAGCUAUGUGUGUGUGCGUGUGUGUUUGUGCGCAAUGUCUGUUAUGUGUGUUCAGUGUGUGUACGAACAGUGGUCCCGUUUACAAUGUAAAAUGCUGUAAUUUUUGGGGUCUGGAACGCAUUCAUCAAAUUUACAUGCAUUCUUGAACGGAUUAAGUUCGAGUUCCGAGGUUUCACUGUACUUCCCUAUGAUCAGCAUUUGAUGACUCUUGCUAAUGUUUUUCUUUGCAGGGGUAAACACACCUCUAGUGGCUGCCUUCCUGACAGAGAGCAUUUUAUUGAAGCAGUGCGGUGAUUAGCG